GUUGGCAGUCUCAGUGUUUUACAGCUAAACACUGGCCACUUUUCAGCUAACAGCAUAUGCAUUUUCCUUUUUACAUUCAUUUUGACCUCUGCCCAGAUAUCUCACACCUGCUGAUGAAGCCAUGCUGGAGAACUGAACAGACUUGGAAUUUAAUAAUGGCACCAUCAGGCACCAUGAGUCACAGAUUGCUACUAUUUGGCGCUGUCUGAGCUGAUGGAUGUGUCCUGCAGGAGUCCUGUUCUCUCUAACAGCCAACACAUCGAUAAACACCACUGCAUUUUAAAACAAGGACAUCUUGAUUGAUUCAUUUCCCUGCAGUUGCCUUCAUUUGUAAUUACUGUUAUAUUUUUAUGUCGUUGCCACAACCUGCUCCCCCACAGGCUGAUGGAUAAUACAUCUCUAUCUGUGCUUGCACUGGCUUAAUUGUGUCUCUGUAAUGCAAAGUACAAAGUUUAUUAAAGGCUGAGUUUCCUGGGAGCG
Molecule: long non-coding RNA, 480 nt
Organism: Micropterus salmoides (largemouth bass)
Lineage: Eukaryota; Metazoa; Chordata; Actinopteri; Centrarchiformes; Centrarchidae
Exons: 2
Source: RefSeq, a predicted model, not a curated record